This 401-nucleotide ribosomal RNA is filed under the name uncultured Hypotrichia. RNAcentral describes it as "partial small subunit ribosomal RNA". It matches the Rfam family "Eukaryotic small subunit ribosomal RNA", at positions 30 to 432 of the family's 1831-position model. The record is from RNAcentral. Lineage: Eukaryota; Ciliophora; Spirotrichea.
GCUUGUCUCAAAGAUUAAGCCAUGCAUGUCUAAGUGUAAAUAAGUCUAUACUGUGAAACUGCGAAUGGCUCAUUAAAACAGUUAUAGUUUAUUUGAUAAUCGAAUUUACAUGGAUAACCGUGGUAAUUCUAGAGCUAAUACAUGCUGGUUAGCCUGACUUCGAGGAAGGGCUGUAUUUAUUAGAUAACAAACCAAUAUUCUUCGUGUCUAUUGUGAUGACUCAUAAUAACUGAUCGAAUCGCAUGGUCCUUGACCGCGAUAAAUCAUUCAAGUUUCUGCCCCAUCAGCUUUCGAUGGUAGUGUAUUGGACUACCAUGGCUUUAACGGGUAACGGAGGAUUAGGGUUCGAUUCCGGAGAGGGAGCCUGAGAAACGGCUACCACAUCUAAGGAAGGCAGCAGG